GAUGAACGCUGGCGGCGUGCUUAACACAUGCAAGUCGAACGGACUUUACAUGAAACCUAGUGAUUGUAAAGUUAGUGGCGGACGGGUGAGUAACGCGUGAGUAACCUGCCUUAUACUGGGGGACAACAGUUGGAAACGACUGCUAAUACCGCAUAAGCGCACAGUUCUGCAUGGAACGGUGUGAAAAACUCCGGUGGUAUAAGAUGGAUUCGCGUCUGAUUAGCUAGUUGGUGAGGUAACGGCUCACCAAGGCGACGAUCAGUAGCCGGCCUGAGAGGGUGAACGGCCACAUUGGGACUGAGACACGGCCCAAACUCCUACGGGAGGCAGCAGUGGGGAAUAUUGCACAAUGGGGGAAACCCUGAUGCAGCGACGCCGCGUGAGUGAAGAAGUAUUUCGGUAUGUAAAGCUCUAUCAGCAGGGAAGAAAAUGACGGUACCUGACUAAGAAGCCCCGGNUAACACGUG
Molecule: ribosomal RNA, 467 nt
Filed under: uncultured bacterium
Lineage: Bacteria
Description: bacterial SSU rRNA
Rfam family: Bacterial small subunit ribosomal RNA
Source: RNAcentral